CCUGUGCUCUGUCUCUCAAAAUUAAAUGAAUGUUAAAAAAAAAUUUUAAACAUAAAAUAAAAUAAAAUUCUCAAAAAGAUAGAAACUAAUCCAAAUGUCUUUCAAGUUCACUUUGAAAGGAGGGGCCUACGCCAGCCGACUCCAUCUUGUUCUGUGUCCUUCACCUAGACCACGCCUCCUCCCCUUGAGUAACCUCCCACUCACCCGUUCAAACUUCCUGAUCAAAACAAGCCAGCGACCUGCAUAACAGGACUCCGACUCUUCCCCAGCCAAUCAGCUGAGGCCACAGCCAUUACCUCACCAACUGCCCCUAGACCCCUAUAAAACCUUUGUGCUUUUGAAACUUGUUCUCUUUCUCUGGUAUCUCACCACUGCGUCGGUGCAGGUAGGGGAUUGAGCUCGAGCUAGCUCGAAUAAAGACUCUUUUGCUUUUGCAUCGGACUUGGCUCCCUAGUGGUCUUUGGGGAUCACGAAUUCUGGGCAUAACAACGCGAUCUAGGGUAAUCUUCAGUAAAUUAAAGUUUAAACUCAUUGGUUUAAUUAAAAUAGGCAUGUCUUUAGAGUUAACAUCAAAUAUAAAACUUCUUUUCCACUUGAGUUUACUAGCCAAAUAAGUUCAUGUUAUCUCUGAUAAGAUCUGCCAAAAAAAUAGCUUGGGAUAAUGACUGGUUUUGUCUAAUGUUUAAUAAAGCUUUUGUGUGUAAUCUAAACAAUUCUCCCUUUUUUUCAAUGUUUAUUUUUGAGAGCGAGAGAGUGCAAGCAGGGCAGGGGCAGAAAGAGGGGGACAGCAGCGAUCCCGAUGUGUGGCUUGAACUCGUGAACUGCAAGAUCAUGACCUGAGCUGAAGUCGGAUGUUCAAUCAACUGAGCCACCCAGGGGUGGGAAGAGGAAAAGAAAGCUGGAAAGGAGCCAGAGAGGCAAGAGGCAAAGAGGAGCUUACAUUCCUGUGGAGGGAGACAGGUAAUCAAGAAAGAAACACAAAAGGGCAGAUGCUGACAAGUGCUCUGGAAAACAAAACAAAACAAAACAAGAUGCACUCUUGGAAUGUCUGCCCUGCCAGACAAAGGACUUCUCUACAGCCCAAAAUCACUGGCUUCAGUUUGGGUCAGGACUGGCAACCUAGUCUCAGUCUCAGGUGAAGAAAAACAGGGCCAGGGUUGGCAGAAUGGUGCAAGGAGUCGAGGGCUCUUUAACUUCUCCCCGUCCCACCUCCAAACGGGGCCUUUUUUCCUGGCAAGCUCAGGUCCUACAUGGUCAGAGCAGGGCCAGGGUCACAGCCAAUCACUAUCUCCUUCCCUCUUAGGUAACAGAGAAGAGAGGCCCAGUCUAGCCUUGGGUCCAAUGAGAAUGAAACCUUGAAGUGGCUUAUUUGGACCAGAGACUGGAGCUAGUUUCUACCCUGCCAAGAGGCAGGGAAAGGUUCCUUCUCCAGAGCUUGGAGAUGCCAGCCUUGCGGAUUCCCAAAGGUCUGUGGCUCUGUGUCCAGCCUCCUGCUCCAGAGCCCCAGGCAGAGUCCUGGAGACUAGACACAACCAGCCAAAGGCUCUGGGAGACCACAGGGGCUGGGGACGAAGCUCCUGGCCCAGAAGCUGUGGCAGAGAGCUGUGUAUUAGCUGCAUGGCCUCUAAGUGGCAGGAGCGAGAGGCCAGGAAGGAAGGGGAGGUCCGGAGCAAGGACUGCUGGACCAGGCUUGUGGCAACCACUCUGCCACGCUCUUCCCCGGGCCGUGCAGCUUAACUCUCUUCACACUCGUGAGGCAGGACUAUGUCCAACUUAAUAGAUAAUAAAUCUGAGUCUCAGAGAGGUCACACAACUUUCCCCAAAACACACGAUCUACAGACUCCAGAGCCUGUUCAGACACCGAGGCUGCUGGGAAGAGGCCCCUGCAGCCUUGUCAAGGGCCCCAGCUACCUGUGUGGAGCCUGUGGUCAAGCUCACGCCUAACAUCCAAGUCGUGUCUAUCAUGAGGAGUUACUGGACAGUUGAAUGUCAAGUGACUUCACCCCUUACCCUCACUCCACCCCCGUCUCCUACAGGGACCCCCACCCUUCUGCCCUUCUCACCCUAAGCUGGCCACAUCCCAAACCCAUCGGAUAAUGGGUUUUACUAAUACAAAUGCAUUCCAAAGGGAGGGGGGUCCAGCCCAGUCGUAGCUACCACAGCUGCUAGAGGUUUGUCCCAACCUUUAGUGCUUUGGGCUUCUUUGUCUGCCUCCCACCAACAUUCCCUCUCCUUUCUGCAGCAGAUUCCCACGCCAUUGGAGCCUAGCAUAAGGAACAGUCCCCAGCUCGUCACAGCUUUGCUGCGCCCCCACACCUCAUCUCCCCUCUCCCUGACUGCCUCCUCCUCACCAGCGUGGGGAUUUGGCUGGAGUAGCUUGAGCUUUGAAUUUUAGAACAAAUCCAGAGAACCCAGUAGCCCAGGGGGACCUGGGAAGGGGCUAACAACACCGGAGGUCAUGUGACUGCCUUUGCCUUCUUAUUGCUCCUCAGGCUUUGCUUAGCACUGAAUUGGGGCCCCUGCCCUCCAGAGCCAAGGGGUAGGGGGUGGAGGGCAGCACAACCACAAAUAAUACCACAUAAGAAACUCUAGAGCUGACCUAGGCAUACAGCCCCAUGUUUUGCUUGGCGAGCGAUCCACACCACAGAACAGGGACAUGCUGGCUGCUUAGUCCGCACUGAAGGGUGAACUCGCCUUCAACUUCUCCGUGCCUCACAUGAUGAUCGGCCUGCACCAUCCCGACCUAUUCCAGGGUGGCUGGAAAGCUAUGAAUCAAACAACAGAUGGGACAGUGCAGGGGCACCUCCUGGUCUCUAUGGUUACCAAGAGCAGCCUUGCCACGGAGAACCUGGAGUGUAAACAGCAGGAACCGGUCUGGUCUGCGGCUGCCAUGUCUGGAAGGAGGCCUCACACAAGGGCAAGGGAGGAAAGGGUGGGGCCCCUGCAGGCUCCCCAGGCCAGAAGGAGGAACUUCUUUACCUGAAAACAAAUUUCCCAGAGAAAGAGUCAACUAGAUGUGAAUGUGCCUUUCACAUGUGCUCGUUCCCCAUUUAAUAAGGAAGUUCUGUGAGAAGAAGCAGUUGCAGCCUCGAGAGGUGAAAUUCUGCCCUGGAAAAUAAGACGGGUGAACUGCUAAGUCCAGAAUGAAGACCAGACACCAGGAAGCCUGAAGCCAAAUGUCCUCAAGCCAAACCUUGGAGCAGCCAGAGGCAGGAGCGAUCAGGCAGGGGACAGCCAUCCAGAACAUUCUGGAAUCACCAUCUGAGGAGCAGAGGGGAGCUGUGUGUGCAGCCAGCCGUGGUCAGACAGAGGAAAUGCAGGGUCUGGCUGCUGGCCAUUCUUACCCUCGCUCCCACCAUCAGGAUCUCUGGCCCCAUCCUGACCCCUGGUGGCUGCCCAUGGGAUGAGAGAGACAGAGCAUGAGCAUGGGAGGGGCAGAGAAAGAGGGAGACAUAGAAUCUGAAGCA
Long non-coding RNA from Felis catus (domestic cat), 3467 nucleotides. RefSeq lists it as uncharacterized. The record is from RefSeq and is a predicted model, not a curated record. NCBI's taxonomy places the organism in Eukaryota, Metazoa, Chordata, Mammalia, Carnivora, Felidae. The transcript is spliced from 8 exons.